CACGUAGGGCGCGAGCGUUGUCCGGAAUUAUUGGGCGUAAAGAGCUCGUAGGCGGCCUGUUGCGUCCGCUGUGAAAGCCCGGGGCUUAACCCCGGGUCUGCAGUCGAUACGGGCAGGCUAGAGUUCGGCAGGGGAGACUGGAAUUCCUGGUGUAGCGGUGAAAUGCGCAGAUAUCAGGAGGAACACCGGUGGCGAAGGCGGGUCUCUGGGCCGAUACUGACGCUGAGGAGCGAAAGCGUGGGGAGCGAACAGG
This 253-nucleotide ribosomal RNA is filed under the name uncultured bacterium. RNAcentral's name for it is "partial 16S ribosomal RNA". It matches the Rfam family "Bacterial small subunit ribosomal RNA", at positions 524 to 776 of the family's 1533-position model. The record is from RNAcentral.